RNAcentral lists this long non-coding RNA (716 nucleotides) under Ricinus communis (castor bean). Its description in RNAcentral is "long non-coding RNA (RCOM_LNC001139)". Lineage: Eukaryota; Viridiplantae; Streptophyta; Magnoliopsida; Malpighiales; Euphorbiaceae. The record is from RNAcentral.
ACUUUUCUCUUAAAAAUAGAAAUAUAACAAAAAGCUUAAUAAAUGAUAAAGAAAAGAAUCCAACUUGGCCUUCUUCUUCUUCUUCUCAACAUAACAACUAUCAACAUAUCGGACCACCACCAACCCUAAGGUAAAUUUAGAAGAAGUUAAAAGUUUUGAAUCUCUUCUUCAUAUUUACAAAUACUUUCUUUUUGUCCACUUGUACGAUUAAUAAUUCAUACAAAUGGAAAAUAUUCCUUUCAGUGAUGUAGAUGCUUGUUGAGUAUAAGCUAUUUCAAUGAAGAAAUUUAAAUUCUUAAUUUGCUUAUCUUGAGCUACUUUCGUUGGAUUAAAUAUUAGGAUUUUUUUUCCAACACUUUAAAUCGAUUUAAAUUACCAUUUAAUUGAGAACUGUAAAUUUAUAAGGGAUGUUAUAAGAAUAGUGAGUUUCGUCCUUUUGAUAUAUUUCAUUUUAUCAGGAAUCCGUCUUAUUUUGUAUUGAUAUGUAAUUAAAAAAAAAAAAAACAGAAGAAGUGACCGGAAAUUGAUGAACCACUUUCACAAGAAACUAAUGGUUUGUCAUCAUUUUAUUUCUUCUUUCCCAUGCAUGUGAAAAUUGAAUGGGUGUAAAUGAGCAUAAACUCAUGCUAAUUCAUAUAUUCCUCUUUGGUUAGAAUUAGCAGAGAACAAGAAAUAUAGAAGCUAGCAAGGGAUCAGAGAACAGAGAUCAGAGNNNN